Long non-coding RNA from Pseudophryne corroboree (corroboree frog), 331 nucleotides. RefSeq lists it as uncharacterized. NCBI's taxonomy places the organism in Eukaryota, Metazoa, Chordata, Amphibia, Anura, Myobatrachidae. The transcript has 3 exons. The record is from RefSeq and is a predicted model, not a curated record.
GGUGAUUUGCCCUGUUCAAAUAAACACUGGGACGACACUCAGUGAUCAGUCACUUUAUGGGCUUGAUGUAAUCUAAUUGAUACCCCAUAUGGUGAAAUUUGGUCCGAUACUAUUUUAAGCAUUGUUAAAUUGCCUUUUUGAAGACACGAUAAGAUGUAUGUCCAUAUUGUGAUUCUUUGAUUAAUACACCCCUGAUGAAGUCUGUAGGACGAAACGCGUUGGGUUAGCACAUUGUUCUCUGACAUCUCUACAAAGAAGAUCAUUUUGAUGUUGUUUGAAUUACCAACACAACUAUCGUCUGUACAAACAUUGUUUAUUGUUAUUCUGGGCA